RNAcentral lists this ribosomal RNA (408 nucleotides) under uncultured bacterium. RNAcentral describes it as "partial 16S ribosomal RNA". It matches the Rfam family "Bacterial small subunit ribosomal RNA", at positions 28 to 526 of the family's 1533-position model. The record is from RNAcentral.
GACGAACGCUGGCGGCGUGCUUAACACAUGCAAGUCGAACGAAGUGGCGAACGGGUGAGUAACGCGUAAUCAACCUGCCCUUCCGAGGGGGACAACAGUUGGAAACGACUGCUAAUACCGCAUACUGAAGGAGGGGCUUGCGUCUGAUUAGCUAGUCGGAGGGGUAACGGCCCACCAAGGCGAUGAUCAGUAGCCGGUCUGAGAGGAUGAACGGCCCCAUUGGGACUGAGAAACGGCCCAGACUCCUACGGGAGGCAGCAGUGGGGAAUCUUCCGCAAUGGACGAAAGUCUGACGGAGCAACGCCGCGUGAGUGAUGACGGCCUUCGGGUUGGAAAGCUCUGUUAAGCGGGACGCGGUACCGGAAUAGAAAGCCACGGCUAACUACGUGCCAGCAGCCGCGGUAAUUC